This 197-nucleotide unclassified non-coding RNA is filed under the name soil metagenome. RNAcentral describes it as "partial internal transcribed spacer 1". The record is from RNAcentral.
UUGAAUUUUCUAAACAGAAGGGGUUUUCUCUUGUUGGGGGGGAUCCUUUCUGAACAAACAUACUACAUGACUAGGAAAUAAGAGACUGGGGGGGGAGGAAAGGCUGCUGUUUGUUUCGUCAUGAGGCACUCUGGCUAGCCCAGGAAAAAAGUUCUUGGCUGAUAAGUAGCAUUGAUUUGUUGAAUCCAUAAUCAAUA